Molecule: long non-coding RNA, 852 nt
Filed under: Zonotrichia albicollis (white-throated sparrow)
Lineage: Eukaryota; Metazoa; Chordata; Aves; Passeriformes; Passerellidae
Description: lncRNA (ENSZALG00000008416.1)
Source: RNAcentral
CGGGGCCCUCGGGGCUGCCCGAGCGGGGAUGGCAGCGGAGCAGCCCCCGAGGGUUUCAUCCUCACGGGCUUCAUCUUCACAGGAGCACCGGGCAGAUGCAGCGGGGCAGACGGAGGGAAGGGAAGGGCUGGCCAAAAGCACCCGCGAUCCCGGCGGAGUGGAGACACAACCGGGGCAGCACAUGGGGAGGGCAGGAAUGAGGUUUCCGUAUUGGCCAGGCAGGCGGGAGAAGGGAGAGGAACAGCAAAUUGCCCGGUUUAUUUCGUGUGCUGAUGACGACCAAAUCCUAAAGCCUUUUCUCAGGGAAAAGCCUGUUGAAUUUCAGUGUUUCCUCCUAGGCUGGGCUUUGGUUUGAGACUUAAGGACAAGUUGCAAGCCCUCCCAGUUGCAGCAGGCAGCAAAUGCCUCAGUUUGUUCCUGCUUUGUGAAGAAUAUUUGCUGACCAUCAAAAUGCAAGGGUUGCUGCUUGUUUUGACGAUUUUUUGGGCGUGCUUCCUGCUUUUGAAAGUCCUGAAGUCACAAUUUACCUGGCUGUGUCUUUGCAGGAGGCCAGUUUUACUUGGCAGCAGAAGGUGUGACUUGGUAGCACGACAGUUCUUUUUUGUUGUCGCCUUGCCAGCGUUCCAUAGCUCUGCAGGCUUGUUUCCCUGUCAGUGUUCAGCAGUUCUCCAGGUUACAGUUAAUAUUGGAAUGGUUACCCUGAGCAAGUCCCUGUGCCACUUUGACAGUGGCCUAGGAGAUGCCUGGAACCUGAAAACUGAAGUUAGAGGACUUGUGCUUUCAUCUGUGCUGUGGGUGACCAGUGUCUUUGGGGCAAUGCAGAGCCAGCACAGAAAGCUUCCAGAAUAACAG